AUACGAAGGGGGCUAGCGUUGUUCGGAAUUACUGGGCGUAAAGCGCGCGUAGGCGGAUUGGUCAGUUAGGGGUGAAAUCCCAGGGCUUAACCCUGGAACUGCCUCUAAUACUGCCAGUCUUGAGUUCGGGAGAGGUGAGUGGAAUUCCUAGUGUAGAGGUGAAAUUCGUAGAUAUUAGGAAGAACACCAGUGGCGAAGGCGGCUCACUGGCCCGAUACUGACGCUGAGGCGCGAAAGCGUGGGGAGCAAACAGGAGUAGAAACCCCAGUAGUCC
This 274-nucleotide ribosomal RNA is filed under the name uncultured bacterium. RNAcentral's name for it is "partial 16S ribosomal RNA". It matches the Rfam family "Bacterial small subunit ribosomal RNA", at positions 523 to 796 of the family's 1533-position model. The record is from RNAcentral.